UGUGUGUGUGUGUGUGUGUGUGUGUGAAGGGGGGGGGGGAUGAUGGAAGGGAUUACCGUCACCUGAAGACAUAUUUUUAUACCAUUUUUUCUUCCUUUUUCGAGAGAGAGAGAGAGAGAGAGAGAGAGAGAGAGAGAUAGAGAGAGAGAGAGAGAGAGAGAGAGAGAGAGAGAGAGAGAGAGAGAGAGAGAGAGAGAGAGAGAGAGAGAGAGAGAGAGAGAGAGAGAGAGAGAUGGAUGGAUUGAUGGACAGACAGAGAUUGAGAUAAAUGGAUAAAUGGAUGAAUAGAUAGAGUAUACAAAGACAGACAGAUGGAUGGAUAGACAGAGAUACAGAGACAGAUAGAUGGAUGGAUAAAUAGUAAUAAAUAAUAAAUAAUAGCAAACAGUAACAGGCUUUGAUCAAUGAAAUAGAAAAAAAUAAAUAGUUUGAAGAGCAAGAUAAAGAAUGAAAGAGCUGCCAUACUGUAUUUGACAACAAUAAAACAAGCGAGAACAACAAUGAUAAAUGAUAAAUAGCAAUAGAUAGCAACAGGUUGUGAACAAUGAAACAGAUGAUAAACAGCUAGAAUGGAGAGAGAAACAAUGAAAGGAAUGACAAUUUAGCAUACCUUAUUAAUUACUAAAGUUCACAUGAGUGUUAUAAAAGCCUCAUGUUUUUACUUAUCAGCUGUGGGUAGCAAAUGAUAACCCUUCCUGAUAAUGCCUAACACUGACCUCAGAGUUGCUAAUCCUGCCUGACAUGCUAAACGGGUACUGUAGCAUAUUAUUAGCAUCAGUGAAUGGAUCUAUUGAAUUCCUGCCUGUGGGUUGAAGUUGUAAAGCAGAAUAUAAGAGAAGUGAUUGCAGGAUGAAAUUUCCUAAUCAACAAAAUGUGAUAAUCGGGCGAUAGAUUUAUCAGAUAACUUUGAAGCGUAGAGAUAAAGUAAACAAAUCAAUAAAUCAAUCAAUCAAUCAAUAAAUAAUAAUAAUAAUAAUAAUAAUAAUAAUAAUAAUAAUAAUAAUCGUGACACGUUUAUAUGUAACAAGAGCGAUACUGCGAGGCAAAACAUUCUAUUUUUAUAUUCAGAGCGUAGAAAAAUGAAACUAAAAUAAAAAUGGCAAUAAACAACAACAACAAUAACAAUGAAAAUAAACAAUAAUGAAAAGAUCAACGGAAUUACACGCCACUGAGAUAAGGUAGCGCACGAAAUGAAUUAUACUACCGCUCAGACGAGAGAGAGAGAGAGAGAGAGAGAGAGAGAGAGAGAGAGAGAGAGAGAGAGAGA
Molecule: long non-coding RNA, 1267 nt
Organism: Portunus trituberculatus (swimming crab)
Lineage: Eukaryota; Metazoa; Arthropoda; Malacostraca; Decapoda; Portunidae
Exons: 2
Source: RefSeq, a predicted model, not a curated record